UGCCAGCCGCCGCGGUAACACGGGGGGCGCAAGCGUUAUUCGGAAUUAUUGGGCGUAAAGGGCGCGUAGGUGGUUGUAUGAGUUAGUUGUGAAAUCCCUGGGCUUAACCUGGGCAUUGCAACUAAGACUGUACAACUCGAGUAUGGGAGAGGGCAGUGGAAUUUCCGGUGUAGCGGUGAAAUGCGUAGAGAUCGGAAGGAACACCAGUGGCGAAGGCGGCUGCCUGGCCCAAUACUGACACUGAGGCACGAAAGCGUGGGUAGCAAACAGGAUUAGAUA
This 279-nucleotide ribosomal RNA is filed under the name uncultured bacterium. RNAcentral's name for it is "partial 16S ribosomal RNA". It matches the Rfam family "Bacterial small subunit ribosomal RNA", at positions 506 to 784 of the family's 1533-position model. The record is from RNAcentral.